AACGAACGCUGGCGGCAGGCUUAACACAUGCAAGUCGAACGCGUGUAGCAAUACACGAGUGGCGCACGGGUGAGUAACGCGUGGAUAUCUGCCUUUUGGUUCGGAAUAACUCCGGGAAACUGGAGCUAAUACCGGAUGGUUCCUACGGGAUAAAGAUUUAUCGCCAAAAGAUGAGUCCGCGUACGAUUAGCUAGUUGGUGAGGUAAUGGCUCACCAAGGCGACGAUCGUUAGCUGGUCUGAGAGGACGAUCAGCCACACUGGGACUGAGACACGGCCCAGACUCCUACGGGAGGCAGCAGUGGGGAAUAUUGGACAAUGGGGGCAACCCUGAUCCAGCCAUGCCGCGUGAGUGAUGAAGGCCU
RNAcentral lists this ribosomal RNA (363 nucleotides) under uncultured bacterium. RNAcentral describes it as "bacterial SSU rRNA". It matches the Rfam family "Bacterial small subunit ribosomal RNA", at positions 29 to 417 of the family's 1533-position model. The record is from RNAcentral.